This 251-nucleotide ribosomal RNA is filed under the name uncultured prokaryote. Its description in RNAcentral is "partial 16S rRNA". It matches the Rfam family "Bacterial small subunit ribosomal RNA", at positions 525 to 775 of the family's 1533-position model. The record is from RNAcentral.
ACGUAGGACCCAAGCGUUGUCCGGAAUUACUGGGUGUAAAGGGUGCGCAGGCGGGCUUGUGCGUCAGAGGUUAAAUCUCCCGGCUCAACCGGGAACAUGCCUUUGAUACGGCAAGUCUUGAAUACGAGAGAGGAUGGUAGAAUUCCUGGUGUAGCGGUGAAAUGCGUAGAUAUCAGGAGGAAUACCAGUGGCGAAGGCGGCCAUCUGGCUCGUUAUUGACGCUCAGGCACGAAAGCGUGGGGAGCAAACAG